UAAAGUAUGAUUUCCAUAUAUUUGACUUCCAAUCAAAAGAUACCAAUAAACCAUCGUUACUUUAC
This 65-nucleotide transfer RNA is filed under the name Ichthyoxenos japonensis. RNAcentral describes it as "tRNA-Gly". Lineage: Eukaryota; Metazoa; Arthropoda; Malacostraca; Isopoda; Cymothoidae. The record is from RNAcentral.